This is a long non-coding RNA of Etheostoma spectabile (orangethroat darter), 890 nucleotides long. RefSeq lists it as uncharacterized. The record is from RefSeq and is a predicted model, not a curated record. Lineage: Eukaryota; Metazoa; Chordata; Actinopteri; Perciformes; Percidae. The transcript is spliced from 2 exons.
GAGACAUUCAGUCCGCAGAGUUGAUUUCACUUACUCGGUGAAUACAGCAGCUCGUUCAUCACUCUCGUGCACCUUGAAUGACUGGAUGGCAGAAUUGUUCUAAAGUGUUUCUGUUCCCCGCACAGCUGGAAACUUUGCCUGGGAAUUUAUGCUUUAAAAAUUUCAGUCAUUGUUUCUGGUCGUGUGUGUAAUAAUGUGCAUCCUAGACCGAAGAGAGGUGCCACACUGGAGGUUUGGAUGGCUUGUUUCUGUUUGAGACUGACUGCAGCUUUCAGGCUGAGGUACAACAUUGAUUAUCUGAUUUUUGAUAAAUGUAUUUUGUUUGUAAAGAAAUUGACAGCCAAACGGAUGCCAGCUUGGAACACUGCUGACGUCGGCUGUCUGGAAAGCAUAGCCAACACCUGCAUCGUCAUUGUAGAAUGUGUCUGUGUCAAAGCUGCAUUGGAAAUAACAAGCUACCAACCAAAUAUUGGUAGACUUUAAUCUUCAGAUACUAAAGCCACCAGGAGCCUAACAGAUAUCCUGUCUGAUUAUGAAAUUUGUUAAGCUCCCCAACAGCAACAGCAGCAGCAGCAACUUUUCUGGUUAGGUGAAGCUCCCAGUUGUUUGGUUAUGACAUAUCCCACUGAGGGAAUGGCAGUGGUGUUGCCACAUGUAGACAAGGCCUCAGUAUGUCAGGUAUGUUGGUGAACCAGAUCCACUCAGCCGUUCUCAGAUGAUGGGUGUAACUCUGUACUUUCCUUGACUGACAUGAUUUAUAAAAAAUGUUGACAAUAAAAGACUACCUGACACUAAGCACAUGGAAAUUAUUUAACUCUGAAUACAUUGAGCACAUGAUUGAGUCCAAGAUAAAGAGAAAUAAUUGAUCCUGGAUCAAGUAUGUUUCAUUU